Molecule: transfer RNA, 76 nt
Filed under: Oscillospiraceae bacterium
Lineage: Bacteria; Bacillati; Bacillota; Clostridia; Eubacteriales; Oscillospiraceae
Description: tRNA-Thr
Rfam family: tRNA
About the family: Transfer RNA (tRNA) molecules are approximately 80 nucleotides in length. Their secondary structure includes four short double-helical elements and three loops (D, anti-codon, and T loops). Further hydrogen bonds mediate the characteristic L-shaped molecular structure. tRNAs have two regions of fundamental functional importance: the anti-codon, which is responsible for specific mRNA codon recognition, and the 3' end, to which the tRNAs corresponding amino acid is attached (by aminoacyl-tRNA synthetases). tRNAs cope with the degeneracy of the genetic code in two manners: having more than one tRNA (with a specific anti-codon) for a particular amino acid; and 'wobble' base-pairing, i.e. permitting non-standard base-pairing at the 3rd anti-codon position.
Source: RNAcentral
GCUGUGGUAGCUCAGUUGGUAGAGCAGCUGAUUCGUAAUCAGCAGGUCAUGGGUUCGAAUCCCAUCCUCAGCUCCA